AUGGCGGUAAUGUGCUACUUAUGAUAUUGUCAUGCACCGCAGGACAGGAAUUAUCACUUCCUGUCUUAUUUUGGAAUGCUGCACUUCCUGCUGGGAGCUUCCAGCUGUAUGCAAUUCCAAUUAGUUGGGCUCAUUGGCUCUGUUAUCCUCGACCGGGAACGUUGUUUCAACUUGUUGCUGUACUUUUCCACGACUAAGUGUUGUGUUUUGUUGUAUUUUCCUGUACAACUGUGAGUACUUGUACUUCAUUGUUAUUAGGAAGACUUUUAUUUGAACGCUGCUUCCUGUCUCUGCAUACUGGCGUCAAGGAUUUGGAAGGUGUAGUUGGAAGAAAUCAACAGCUCCAUCACGGCGGCGGCGCGGGAGGCAACACGCGGGACAUGAAGUGAUUGAGAAGUGAAACUACCAGCUGACAUCUCCGCUCCAAAGAAGAAAAUAAAAAACUCCUCCAGAGUGGCGCAAUGAAGCCGUGGGGACUCCCACUUUGUCGUACUCGACUCCCCGCCACUUUCACAUCCUUGGCAUCGCCAUUGUUGGGGUGUGCGGGGACAUCGUGGAGAUGUGGAAAGACAAUCCCGCCGUGGCUCCUCCUCGGCUGAUGGAUGUCAAGUGGUUCCAGGGAGAGGGAAACAAGAGGAAGAGGGUCCUAAAAUGAGUGCUAUGCCAAAUCUGAGGAUGUGAUCUAGAGCUUGGACUUGCUGGACCUUCUCUCAAGACUCCUGGGUUGACUUUGACUUUCUGCAGACUAAAAAUGCUGGAAUUUGAAAUGCUGUUUCCAAGUGAGCUCCGGGAACUUCACAGCCAG
This is a non-coding RNA of Doryrhamphus excisus (bluestripe pipefish), 805 nucleotides long. Lineage: Eukaryota; Metazoa; Chordata; Actinopteri; Syngnathiformes; Syngnathidae. The record is from RefSeq and is a predicted model, not a curated record.